RNAcentral lists this ribosomal RNA (397 nucleotides) under Shigella sonnei. Its description in RNAcentral is "partial 23S ribosomal RNA". It matches the Rfam family "Bacterial large subunit ribosomal RNA", at positions 795 to 1190 of the family's 2925-position model. The record is from RNAcentral. Lineage: Bacteria; Pseudomonadati; Pseudomonadota; Gammaproteobacteria; Enterobacterales; Enterobacteriaceae.
AAUUAGCGGAUGACUUGUGGCUGGGGGUGAAAGGCCAAUCAAACCGGGAGAUAGCUGGUUCUCCCCGAAAGCUAUUUAGGUAGCGCCUCGUGAAUUCAUCUCCGGGGGUAGAGCACUGUUUCGGCAAGGGGGUCAUCCCGACUUACCAACCCGAUGCAAACUGCGAAUACCGGAGAAUGUUAUCACGGGAGACACACGGCGGGUGCUAACGUCCGUCGUGAAGAGGGAAACAACCCAGACCGCCAGCUAAGGUCCCAAAGUCAUGGUUAAGUGGGAAACGAUGUGGGAAGGCCCAGACAGCCAGGAUGUUGGCUUAGAAGCAGCCAUCAUUUAAAGAAAGCGUAAUAGCUCACUGGUCGAGUCGGCCUGCGCGGAAGAUGUAACGGGGCUAAACCAU